RNAcentral lists this transfer RNA (75 nucleotides) under archaeon. RNAcentral's name for it is "tRNA-Pro". It matches the Rfam family "tRNA". Rfam says of the family: Transfer RNA (tRNA) molecules are approximately 80 nucleotides in length. RNAcentral also lists the same sequence under 1 other name. The record is from RNAcentral.
GGGGCCAUAGUGUAGCUUGGUCUAUCACUAAGCGUUUGGGACGCUUGAACCCCGGUUCAAAUCCGGGUGGCCCCA